Molecule: ribosomal RNA, 250 nt
Filed under: uncultured soil bacterium
Lineage: Bacteria
Description: partial 16S ribosomal RNA
Rfam family: Bacterial small subunit ribosomal RNA
Source: RNAcentral
AGAUUGAACGCUGGCGGCAUGCCUUACACAUGCAAGUCGAACGGCAGCACGGGAGCAAUCCUGGUGGCGAGUGGCGAACGGGUGAGUAAUACAUCGGAACGUGCCCAAUCGUGGGGGAUAACGCAGCGAAGCUGUGCUAAUACCGCAUAAGAUCUACGGAUGAAAGCAGGGGAUCGCAAGACCUUGCGCGAAUGGAGCGGCCGAUGGCAGAUUAGGUAGUUGGUGAGGUAAAGGCUACACCAAGCCUUGA